RNAcentral lists this long non-coding RNA (331 nucleotides) under Elaeis guineensis (African oil palm). Its description in RNAcentral is "long non-coding RNA (EGUI_LNC021725)". The record is from RNAcentral. Lineage: Eukaryota; Viridiplantae; Streptophyta; Magnoliopsida; Arecales; Arecaceae.
UGUAUGGUUGUAGUUCUUUAGUGGGUAUACGUUGCCAAACAAGUUUCAACAAAAACAUCUUACUCACUUAGAAACACAAGUUGCCAAAUUCAGGCAAAAUGAUAUCUAAAUAUAAAAGAAAGAGAUGGAAAAAGAGCUACAGCAAUAUCUUUAAUUAGAGGAGACAAUUAUGGAUCUUGAAGGAGCCCAACCUAACUGAUCAGACCAAAAGGCUUAUGCAAGGGGCAUAAAAAUAAUUAUGGUCAUCAUCUCAGUAUUAAAAAUAGAGGUCAAGAAUGAUAUAUUCCAUGUUUUAUCAGGUAAAAUAAAAUCAGCAAUUGUAUAAGCCUCC